GACGAACGCUGGCGGCGUGCUUAACACAUGCAAGUCGAACGAAGAAGCAGAGAUACGCGGGCUUCGGUUCAAGUCUCACUUCGGAUUAGUGGGAGACGGGUGAGUAACGCGUGAGCAACCUACCUCUUACAAAGGGAUAGCCUCCGGAAACCGUGCUUAAUACCAUUUGACACAUUCAUAAGGCAUCUUAAGAAUGUUAAAGCCGCGGCGGUAAGGGAUGGGCUCGCGUCGCAUUAGCUAGUUGGUGCGGUAACGGCAAACCAAGGCGACGAUGGGGAACCGAGCGGGGAGGGUGAACGGUCAGAUUGGAACUAAGACACGGUCUAAUCUCCGACGGGGGGGUGCAGUGGGGAGUAUUGCGGGAUGGAGGGAGCUCUAGUGCAGCGGCGCCGCGUGAGCGAUGAAUGGAGUCGUAAAGUGAAGUUCUGUUUUAUGAGAAGAAAAGGACGGUACUGGAUAAGAAAGCCCCGGCUAAAUACGUG
Molecule: ribosomal RNA, 482 nt
Filed under: uncultured bacterium
Lineage: Bacteria
Description: partial 16S ribosomal RNA
Rfam family: Bacterial small subunit ribosomal RNA
Source: RNAcentral